UUUUGUUUCAGCAAUAUAAUUACAAAGAGAGAAUAAAGUGGCCCCCUUGAAGGCCAAUGCCGCUGGUGCAGUUUUGUUUCUUAUGGUGGUUUGCUCAAAGAUUGCGGCGGACAGUUCGGAGUUUGACGACCUUGCUCCUUCGCCGGCAAUGACAGGCGGCGGCAGCGGUUUGGGAUUUGCGCCACCUGUCUCCAUUGCUGCUGUUUGUCGAUCUGUUUGUUUAAUUAAUAUGCUCAUGUUUUGAGCGGUGUUUGAUGUAAUUUGUUCAUCUUUUGUAAAAAUCUUGAGGAACUUUCUUUGUUUUGAUCUUUUGGUUCAUGAGAAAUAAUUCAUACAUAUUCAAAAUGUUUCCCUAAAAGUUCUUAAACGAG
RNAcentral lists this long non-coding RNA (371 nucleotides) under Olea europaea (common olive). RNAcentral describes it as "long non-coding RNA (OEUR_LNC006520)". The record is from RNAcentral. Lineage: Eukaryota; Viridiplantae; Streptophyta; Magnoliopsida; Lamiales; Oleaceae.